GACGAACGCUGGCGGCGCGCCUAACACAUGCAAGUCGAACGAGCGAGAGAGAGCUUGCUUUCUCAAGCGAGUGGCGAACGGGUGAGUAACGCGUGAGGAACCUGCCUCAAAGAGGGGGACAACAGUUGUAAACGACUGCUAAUACCGCAUAAGCCCACAGUUCGGCAUCGACCAGAGGGAAAAGGAGCAAUCCGCUUUGAGAUGGCCUCGCGUCCGAUUAGCUAGUUGGUGAGGUAACGGCCCACCAAGGCAACGAUCGGUAGCCGGACUGAGAGGUUGAACGGCCACAUUGGGACUGAGACACGGCCCAGACUCCUACGGGAGGCAGCAGUGGGGAAUAUUGCACAAUGGGGGAAACCCUGAUGCAGCGACGCCGCGUGGAGGAAGAAGGUCUUCGGAUUGUAAACUCCUGUUGUUGAGGAAGAUAAUGACGGUACUAAACAAGGAAGUGACGGCUAACUACGUG
RNAcentral lists this ribosomal RNA (466 nucleotides) under uncultured bacterium. RNAcentral describes it as "partial 16S ribosomal RNA". It matches the Rfam family "Bacterial small subunit ribosomal RNA", at positions 28 to 507 of the family's 1533-position model. The record is from RNAcentral.